Lates calcarifer (barramundi perch) is the source of this 653-nucleotide long non-coding RNA. RefSeq lists it as uncharacterized. The transcript is spliced from 3 exons. NCBI's taxonomy places the organism in Eukaryota, Metazoa, Chordata, Actinopteri, Centropomidae. The record is from RefSeq and is a predicted model, not a curated record.
ACAAACAAAAUAAUCAGGAUUCAAAACUCAGCUUCCUUCAACACCUGACCUGUGUAUGAGGACUUCAGAGAUUCUGUUUGUUAGAGAUUUAACAAAAAUCUGAAAGAUCAUCAACAAAUAAAGUUUGGGAAACACACAUGGGACUGACACACAACUGACAAAAAUAAAAAUGGAACAAGAUUUUUUCUUUUCUUUUUCCUUUUGUUGUUCUUGUGCCUGUUGUGCUUACUAGUUGCAGGUAAAGCCCUUUGUAACUGCUAUAGUGACUUGUUCUUAUAUAACUGACUGAUCUGUGCAGCAGAGACAGGAAACAGCACUUGUUCAAGUUAUUUCCUUGUUUGAGCUGAACAGGCCCACAUCGCCCACAUCGCCCACAUGUGCAUCAGUUACUGAUUAAACCUGAGCUCGGAACCCAAAAGAUGAAAACCAGCCUCCCAUUUUGCUCGUUCACUCAAAUCCUCAGACUUCAGAUGUAAAGAAUACACAGAGCACAGACGAUGAUAAAACAGACUUCAGGAGGAAAGAAUCCACAAAGUACAGAAGAUCAUUUAAAGAAGGAAAGCAAAAGAAGAGCUGAAAUGAACGAUGAACCUCGGACGCUGCGUCUUUCUCUUGGGUGUUACUUUCUAUUUACAUAAAUCAUGAUGGCGGAA